This 492-nucleotide ribosomal RNA is filed under the name uncultured bacterium. Its description in RNAcentral is "partial 16S ribosomal RNA". It matches the Rfam family "Bacterial small subunit ribosomal RNA", at positions 29 to 507 of the family's 1533-position model. The record is from RNAcentral.
AGUGAACGCUGGCGGUAGGCCUAACACAUGCAAGUCGAACGGCAGCACAGUAAGAGCUUGCUCUUACGGGUGGCGAGUGGCGGACGGGUGAGGAAUACAUCGGAAUCUACUUUUUCGUGGGGGAUAACGUAGGGAAACUUACGCUAAUACCGCAUACGACCUACGGGUGAAAGCAGGGGAUCUUCGGACCUUGCGCGAUUGAAUGAGCCGAUGUCGGAUUAGCUAGUUGGCGGGGUAAAGGCACACCAAGGCGACGAUCCGUAGCUGGUCUGAGAGGAUGAUCCGCCACACUGGAACUGAGACACGGUCCAGACUCCUACGGGAGGCAGCAGUGGGGAAUAUUGGACAAUGGGCGCAAGCCUGAUCCAGCCAUACCGCGUGGGUGAAGAAGGCCUUCGGGUUGUAAAGCCCUUUUGUUGGGAAAGAAAAGCAGCAGGUUAAUACCCCGCUGUUCUGACGGUACCCAAAGAAUAAGCACCGGCUAACUUCGUG